UAGGGAAUAUUAGAAAUGGACGAAAGUCUGAUCUAGCAACACCGCGUGUGCGAAGAAGGCCUUCGGGUCGUAAAGCACUUUUUGAGAGGAUGAGGAAGGACGGUACUCUCAGAAUAAGUCUCGGCUAACUACGUGCCAGCAGCCGCGGUAACACGUAGGAGGCAAACGUUAUCCGGAUUUACUGGGCGUAAAGCGCGUGUAGGUGGUUUGGUAAGUAGAGCGUGAAAGCUCCUGGCUCAACUGGGAGAGGUCGUUCUAAACUGCCGGACUAGAGGAUGGUAGAGGGAGGUGGAAUUCCGGGUGUAGCGGUGGAAUGCGCAGAUAUCCGGAGGAACACCAGUGGCGAAAGCGGCCUCCUGGACCACUCCUGACACUCAGACGCGAAAGCUAGGGUAGCAAACG
Molecule: ribosomal RNA, 402 nt
Filed under: uncultured prokaryote
Description: bacterial SSU rRNA
Rfam family: Bacterial small subunit ribosomal RNA
Source: RNAcentral